Molecule: ribosomal RNA, 425 nt
Filed under: uncultured archaeon
Lineage: Archaea
Description: partial 16S ribosomal RNA
Rfam family: Archaeal small subunit ribosomal RNA
Source: RNAcentral
CUACGGGGGGCUCCAGUUAAGUAUCUUUUGCAAUGCGCGCAAGCGUGACAAAGUGAGCCAGAGUGAUUUUCCAUAAUGGAAUAUCUUUUGCCAAAUGUAAAUAGUUUGGCGAAUAAGGACUGGGAACAGACCGGUGCCAGCCGCCGCGGUAAUACCGGCAGUUCAAGUCGCAGCCACAUUUAUUGGGUCUAAAACAUCUGUAGCUUGCUUUGCAAGUUUUCUGUGAAAUUCUAUAUCUUAAAUAUAGAGCGAGCAGGAAAUACUGCAGAGCUAGAGACUGGAAGAUGUAAGGAGAAUGUGUGGGGUACCGGUAAAAUGGGUUGAUCCUAUGCAGACUAACGAUAGCGAAGGCACCUUACAAGUACAGAUCUGACAGUGAGAGAUGAAGGCUAGGGUCGCGAAAGGGAUUAGAUACCCCUGUAGUC